CUCAUGACCUAUGCCCCUGCCACGUCAGACUUCUUACGGCUCCCUCUGCAUUCCGUGCUGAGUCUUAUCUCCGGGGUUCUGUAUGUAGCAUUUCUCCUCCCUUCGUCUUUUUGUCCACCAGGCCCUGGGGACCCCAGGAGCUCCCAGUGAUCCGGCAAUUAAAGGGUUACUGCCUGUUCCAGCAGGAGGCCUCCCGGGACCCUGUCCCAGCGCUUUGGCUCUAUCCAUUUGCGUUCAGCAGCUUCUAUGAAGGCAAGGAUACAGUCUUUCCCAACGGAGAAUCCCCAGCAUCCAGCACAGAAUCGAAAAUGAAACAGUGUCUGGGAUCCGAGAGAGAACUAGUGAAGGACCCAGAGGACACUCGAGUCUGGAUACCUGACUGUGUCUGAAGGACAUCAAAACACCCGUGGAGCAUGGGGAAAACGGGCCGCCGGUCAGUUUUGUUCAUGUGGAAGGAGCCCAUUGUUCCCUCCUCAGGAGGCGUUACAAAGGAAGACCAGCAAAACCGGUGGAAAACCCUCCCUUCGGAAUGAGUUGAUUAGUUAUUGCCGAUUAUCUUCGAUGUUCGGUGCAGGACCUGGGGUUUGAUUCUUCACCGAGAGACUGUUAAACUAGCUGAACAGCGGCUUGAACUGGAGGGAAGCUCAGCCCUGAACAAGCUCAUCCAAGUCUGAUGUGACCUUGAUGGCGGUGCUCACUACAUUUGCUGCAGCUGGCCUAUGUCUGCCCUGAGGUCACCAGUGCUGCAUUUGCCCAGUGUCCAGCCAGAAGGGGCUGGAGCCCUCCAGAAGAAUCACCCGUCUUGCAAAGAAUGACCUGAUUAAUCCUGCUUCUAGCGUGGGGACCCCUCCACUGGUCACAAGAGUCAGCCUUUAGCAGCUGCUCCGGGAGCGGUGAUAAACAGCCUCGGAGGGCUUAUCUGCGCCCCUCGUAGCAUCUGAACCAAUAGACACUUGGAGAGAAAACAGGACAGAAAUGAUUAUUAAUUCUUCCUCAAACCCGAGGAGUAGCUCUUGUGGGCCGA
RNAcentral lists this long non-coding RNA (1024 nucleotides) under Equus caballus (horse). RNAcentral's name for it is "lncRNA (ENSECAG00000037570.3)". Lineage: Eukaryota; Metazoa; Chordata; Mammalia; Perissodactyla; Equidae. The record is from RNAcentral.